UACGGAAGGCAGCAGUGGGGAAUAUUGCACAAUGGGCGAAAGCCUGAUGCAGCUAUGCCGCGUGUAUGAAGAAGGCCUUAGGGUUGUAAAGUACUUUCAUCGGGGAGGAAAAACAAAACUAAUAAUUUUAUUUCUUGACGUUACCCGAAAAAGAAGCACCGGCUAACUCCGUGCCAGCAGCCGCGGUAAUACGGAGGGUGCUAGCGUUAAUCAGAAUUACUGGGCGUAAAGAGCACGUAGGUGGUUAAUUAAGUUGGAUGUGAAAUCCCCGGGCUUAACCUGGGAAUGGCAUUCAAGACUGGUUAGCUAGAGUCUUGUAGAGGGGGUAGGAUUCCAUGUGUAGCGGUGAAAUGCGUAGAGAUGUGGAGGAAUACCGGUGGCGAAGGCGGCCCCUGGACAAAGACUGACGCUCAUGUGCGAAAGCGUGGGGAGCAAACAGGGAUUAGAUACC
This 451-nucleotide ribosomal RNA is filed under the name uncultured bacterium. RNAcentral's name for it is "bacterial SSU rRNA". It matches the Rfam family "Bacterial small subunit ribosomal RNA", at positions 340 to 786 of the family's 1533-position model. The record is from RNAcentral.